This 448-nucleotide ribosomal RNA is filed under the name uncultured bacterium. RNAcentral describes it as "bacterial SSU rRNA". It matches the Rfam family "Bacterial small subunit ribosomal RNA", at positions 28 to 497 of the family's 1533-position model. The record is from RNAcentral.
GACGAACGCUGGCGGCGUGCUUAACACAUGCAAGUCGAACGGUGAAGGGGAGCUUGCUCCCCGGAUCAGUGGCGAACGGUGAGUAACACGUGGGCAACCUGCCCCAGACUUCGGGAUAACGCUUCGAAAGAGGUGCUAAUACCGGAUACGAACUCCUUGGGCAUCCCGGGAGUUGGAAAGUUUUUUCGGUCUGGGAUGGGCCCGCGGCCUAUCAGCUUGUUGGUGAGGUAACGGCUCACCAAGGCGACGACGGGUAGUCGGCCUGAGAGGGCGACCGGCCACACUGGGACUGAGACACGGCCCAGACUCCUACGGGAGGCAGCAGUGGGGAAUAUUGCGCAAUGGGCGAAAGCCUGACGCAGCAACGCCGCGUGAGGGAUGACGGCCUGGUGUAACUCUUCUAGCAGGAAGAAGCGAAGUAGACGGUACCUGCAGAAGAAGACGCCGG